GAUGAAGAACGUAGCGAAAUGCGAUACGUAAUGUGAAUUGCAAAUUCAGUGAAUCAUCGAGUCUUUGAACGCACAUUGCGCCCCCUGGUAUUCCGGGGGGCAUGCCUGUCCGAGCGUCAUUGCUGCCCUCAAGCACGGCUUGUGUGUUGGGCCCCGUCCUCCGAUCCCGGGGGACGGGCCCGAAAGGCAGCGGCGGCACCGCGUCCGGUCCUCGAGCGUAUGGGGCUUUGUCACCCGCUCUGUAGGCCCGGCCGGCGCUUGCCGAUCAACCCAAAUUUUUUAUCCAGGUUGACCUCGGAUCAGGUAGGGAUACCCGCUGAACUUAAGCAUAUCAAUAAGCAGGA
RNAcentral lists this unclassified non-coding RNA (344 nucleotides) under soil metagenome. RNAcentral's name for it is "partial contains 5.8S ribosomal RNA, internal transcribed spacer 2, and large subunit ribosomal RNA". The stretch from base 1 to 119 matches the Rfam family "5.8S ribosomal RNA", at positions 35 to 154 of the family's 154-position model. The record is from RNAcentral.